ACGGGAGGCAGCAGUCGGGAAUAUUGCGCAAUGGAGGAAACUCUGACGCAGUGACGCCGCGUAUAGGAAGAAGGUUUUCGGAUUGUAAACCUCUGUUAUUAGUGAAGAAACAAAUGACGGUAGCUAAUGAGGAAGCCACGGCUAACUACGUGCCAGCAGCCGCGGUAAUACGUAGGUGGCAAGCGUUGUCCGGAAUUACUGGGUGUAAAGGGUGCGCAGGCGGGACUGUAAGUUGGAUGUGAAAUACCGUGGCUUAACCACGGAGCUGCAUCCAAAACUGCGGUUCUUGAGUGAAGUAGAGGUAGGCGGAAUUCCGAGUGUAGCGGUGAAAUGCGUAGAUAUUCGGAGGAACACCAGUGGCGAAGGCGGCCUACUGGGCUUUAACUGACGCUGAGGCACGAAAGCAUGGGGAGCAAACAGGAUUAGAUACCCUGGUA
This 437-nucleotide ribosomal RNA is filed under the name uncultured Ethanoligenens sp. RNAcentral's name for it is "partial 16S ribosomal RNA". It matches the Rfam family "Bacterial small subunit ribosomal RNA", at positions 341 to 792 of the family's 1533-position model. Lineage: Bacteria; Bacillati; Bacillota; Clostridia; Eubacteriales; Oscillospiraceae. The record is from RNAcentral.